AGGAUGAACGCUAGCUACAGGCUUAACACAUGCAAGUCGAGGGGCAUCAGGAAGAAAGCUUGCUUUCUUUGCUGGCGACCGGCGCACGGGUGAGUAACACGUAUCCAACCUGCCCUUUACUCGGGGAUAGCCUUUCGAAAGAAAGAUUAAUACCCGAUAGCAUAAUGAUUCCGCAUGGUUUCAUUAUUAAAGGAUUCCGGUAAAGGAUGGGGAUGCGUUCCAUUAGGUUGUUGGUGAGGUAACGGCCCACCAAGCCUUCGAUGGAUAGGGGUUCUGAGAGGAAGGUCCCCCACAUUGGAACUGAGACACGGUCCAAACUCCUACGGGAGGCAGCAGUGAGGAAUAUUGGUCAAUGGGCGCUAGCCUGAACCAGCCAAGUAGCGUGAAGGAUGAAGGCUCUAUGGGUCGUAAACUUCUUUUAUAUAAGAAUAAAGUGCAGUAUGUAUACUGUUUUGUAUGUAUUAUAUGAAUAAGGAUCGGCUAACUCCGUGCCAGCAGCCGCGGUAAUACGGAGGAUCCGAGCGUUAUCCGGAUUUAUUGGGUUUAAAGGGAGCGUAGGUGGACUGGUAAGUCAGUUGUGAAAGUUUGCGGCUCAACCGUAAAAUUGCAGUUGAUACUGUCAGUCUUGAGUACAGUAGAGGUGGGCGGAAUUCGUGGUGUAGCGGUGAAAUGCUUAGAUAUCACGAAGAACUCCGAUUGCGAAGGCAGCUCACUGGACUGCAACUGACACUGAUGCUCGAAAGUGUGGGUAUCAAACAGGAUUAGAUACCCUGGUAGUCCACACAGUAAACGAUGAAUACUCGCUGUUUGCGAUAUACAGUAAGCGGCCAAGCGAAAGCAUUAAGUAUUCCACCUGGGGAGUACGCCGGCAACGGUGAAACUCAAAGGAAUUGACGGGGGCCCGCACAAGCGGAGGAACAUGUGGUUUAAUUCGAUGAUACGCGAGGAACCUUACCCGGGCUUAAAUUGCAGUGGAAUGAUGUGGAAACAUGUCAGUGAGCAAUCACCGCUGUGAAGGUGCUGCAUGGUUGUCGUCAGCUCGUGCCGUGAGGUGUCGGCUUAAGUGCCAUAACGAGCGCAACCCUUAUCUUCAGUUACUAACAGGUCAUGCUGAGGACUCUGGAGAGACUGCCGUCGUAAGAUGUGAGGAAGGUGGGGAUGACGUCAAAUCAGCACGGCCCUUACGUCCGGGGCUACACACGUGUUACAAUGGGGGGUACAGAAGGCAGCUAGCGGGUGACCGUAUGCUAAUCCCAAAAGCCUCUCUCAGUUCGGAUCGAAGUCUGCAACCCGACUUCGUGAAGCUGGAUUCGCUAGUAAUCGCGCAUCAGCCACGGCGCGGUGAAUACGUUCCCGGGCCUUGUACACACCGCCCGUCAAGCCAUGGGAGCCGGGGGUACCUGAAGUACGUAACCGCAAGGAUCGUCCUAGGGUAAAACUGGUGACUGGGGCUAA
This 1455-nucleotide ribosomal RNA is filed under the name uncultured organism. RNAcentral describes it as "SSU rRNA". It matches the Rfam family "Bacterial small subunit ribosomal RNA". The record is from RNAcentral.